CAUGCAUCCUUUCACCCUAACAUAGGCUUGGUUUCCCUUUUAAGAAUAACUGAAAACAAAUUAUAUAUGCAAUUUUUAAUUCUUGAGGUCACACAUUCACAUGCUUCAAAAUUACUAAAAGCAACAAAGUGAAACAGCUUUCUUCUUUCCUUACCUCCACAGAUAAGCACUAAUACUUGUAAAAGCAGGAACAUGAAUAGGUAGCAAUGCUUAACUGUGUAUGCACCAUAGGGACUAAAAGAGCCUUUUUCAUCAAUGUUGACAGGACUAUUUUUAUCUCCUUUCCUAUGACAUUACUGUUCUUUUUGUUCAAUGGGACCUAAUAAAAAAUCUUUACUUCAAGUCUGAUUCAUCUGGUAAACUUCACCACUGUCUUUUUGUUUGUUUGUUUGUUUACGGGAUGAUUUAUUACAGAGAUUCAUCUGAGCUAUCUUGGAAGAUGACAACUGGCAUUUCAAGACAAUCAUUUGUUAGAAACAAACAAACAAAAAUUAAUUUUUUGAAAACAGAGGCUGGUUUAGUUAACAAACUCUAAGCUCUCUAAUUUCACUCAGCUAGGAUCUUCCCUU
Molecule: long non-coding RNA, 569 nt
Filed under: Bos taurus (domestic cattle)
Lineage: Eukaryota; Metazoa; Chordata; Mammalia; Artiodactyla; Bovidae
Description: long non-coding RNA NONBTAT000736
Source: RNAcentral